GCUGGCGGCGUGCUUAACACAUGCAAGUCGAGCGGUAAGGCCCUUCGGGGUACACGAGCGGCGAACGGGUGAGUAACACGUGGGUGAUCUGCCUCGCACUUCGGGAUAAGCCUGGGAAACUGGGUCUAAUACCGGAUAUGACCUUUCAGUGCAUGCUGUUGGGUGGAAAGAUUUAUCGGUGCGAGAUGGGCCCGCGGCCUAUCAGCUUGUUGGCGGGGUAACGGCCCACCAAGGCGACGACGGGUAGCCGACCUGAGAGGGUGACCGGCCACACUGGGACUGAGACACGGCCCAGACUCCUACGGGAGGCAGCAGUGGGGAAUAUUGCACAAUGGGCGAAAGCCUGAUGCAGCGACGCCGCGUGAGGGAUGACGGCCUUCGGGUUGUAAACCUCUUUCGACAGGGACGAAGCGCAAGUGACGGUACCUGUAGAAGAAGCACCGGCCAACUACGUGCCAGCAGC
Molecule: ribosomal RNA, 463 nt
Filed under: Nocardia sp. 12-007
Lineage: Bacteria; Bacillati; Actinomycetota; Actinomycetes; Mycobacteriales; Nocardiaceae
Description: bacterial SSU rRNA
Rfam family: Bacterial small subunit ribosomal RNA
Source: RNAcentral